ACGUGAGCAACCUGCCCAGAAGUAGGGGAUAGCCCACCGAAAGGUGGAUUAAUACCGUAUGUGACGGCCGGAGGAUUCUCCGGCUCAUUAAAGGUGGGGAUCCCUCGGGACCUGCCGCUUCUGGAUGGGCUCGCGGCCUAUCAGCUUGUUGGUGAGGUAACGGCUCACCAAGGCUACGACGGGUAGCUGGUCUGAGAGGAUGAUCAGUCACACUGGAACUGAGACACGGUCCAGACUCCUACGGGAGGCAGCAGUGGGGAAUAUUGCACAAUGGGGGAAACCCUGAUGCAGCCAUGCCGC
Molecule: ribosomal RNA, 300 nt
Filed under: uncultured Verrucomicrobiaceae bacterium
Lineage: Bacteria; Pseudomonadati; Verrucomicrobiota; Verrucomicrobiia; Verrucomicrobiales; Verrucomicrobiaceae
Description: bacterial SSU rRNA
Rfam family: Bacterial small subunit ribosomal RNA
Source: RNAcentral